RNAcentral lists this ribosomal RNA (417 nucleotides) under uncultured organism. Its description in RNAcentral is "SSU rRNA". It matches the Rfam family "Bacterial small subunit ribosomal RNA", at positions 505 to 916 of the family's 1533-position model. The record is from RNAcentral.
GUGCCAGCCGCCGCGGUAAUACGGAGGGUGCAAGCGUUAUCCGGAUUUAUUGGGUUUAAAGGGUGCGUAGGCGGCCCGUUAAGUCAGUAGUGAAAACCUGCGGCUCAACCGUAGGCGUGCCAUUGAAACUGACAGGCUUGAGUMACCAUGAGGCAGGCGGAAUGUGUAGUGUAGCGGUGAAAUGCUUAGAUAUUACACAGAACACCGAUUGCGUCAGGCAGUCUUGCUAAAGGUUCACUGACGACUGAUGCACGAAAUGCGUGGGGAUCGAACAGGGUUAGCACUAUCCCUGGUAGUCCACGCCGUAAACGAUGAUAACUCGCUGUUAGGCGAUACACAGUCAGCGGCUUAGCGAAAGCGUUAAGUUAUCCACCUGGGGAGUACGCUCGCAAGAGUGAAACUCAAAGGAAUUGACGG